GACGGAGGAUGCAAGUGUUAUCCGGAAUCACUGGGCGUAAAGCGUCUGUAGGUGGUUUAAUAAGUCAACUGUUAAAUCUUGAGGCUUAACCUCAAAAUCGCAGUCGAAACUAUUAGGCUAGAGUAUAGUAGGGGUAAAGGGAAUUUCCAGUGGAGCGGUGAAAUGCGUAGAUAUUGGAAAGACCACCGACGGCGAAGGCACUUUACUGGGCCAUUACUGACACUAAGAGACGAAAGCUAGGGGAGCAAAUGGG
This 253-nucleotide ribosomal RNA is filed under the name uncultured prokaryote. RNAcentral describes it as "partial 16S ribosomal RNA". It matches the Rfam family "Bacterial small subunit ribosomal RNA", at positions 524 to 776 of the family's 1533-position model. The record is from RNAcentral.